This 781-nucleotide ribosomal RNA is filed under the name uncultured Staphylococcus sp. Its description in RNAcentral is "bacterial SSU rRNA". It matches the Rfam family "Bacterial small subunit ribosomal RNA", at positions 106 to 875 of the family's 1533-position model. The record is from RNAcentral. Lineage: Bacteria; Bacillati; Bacillota; Bacilli; Caryophanales; Staphylococcaceae.
GUGAGUAACACGUGGAUAACCUACCUAUAAGACUGGGAUAACUUCGGGAAACCGGAGCUAAUACCGGAUAAUAUUUUGAACCGCAUGAUUCAAAAGUGAAAGACGGUCUUGCUGUCACUUAUAGAUGGAUCCGCGCUGCAUUAGCUAGUUGGUAAGGUAACGGCUUACCAAGGCAACGAUGCAUAGCCGACCUGAGAGGGUGAUCGGCCACACUGGAACUGAGACACGGUCCAGACUCCUACGGGAGGCAGCAGUAGGGAAUCUUCCGCAAUGGGCGAAAGCCUGACGGAGCAACGCCGCGUGAGUGAUGAAGGUCUUCGGAUCGUAAAACUCUGUUAUUAGGGAAGAACAUAUGUGUAAGUAACUGUGCACAUCUUGACGGUACCUAAUCAGAAAGCCACGGCUAACUACGUGCCAGCAGCCGCGGUAAUACGUAGGUGGCAAGCGUUAUCCGGAAUUAUUGGGCGUAAAGCGCGCGUAGGCGGUUUUUUAAGUCUGAUGUGAAAGCCCACGGCUCAACCGUGGAGGGUCAUUGGAAACUGGAAAACUUGAGUGCAGAAGAGGAAAGUGGAAUUCCAUGUGUACGGUGAAAUGCGCAGAGAUAUGGAGGAACACCAGUGGCGAAGGCGACUUUCUGGUCUGUAACUGACGCUGAUGUGCGAAAGCGUGGGGAUCAAACAGGAUUAGAUACCCUGGUAGUCCACGCCGUAAACGAUGAGUGCUAAGUGUUAGGGGGUUUCCGCCCCUUAGUGCUGCAGCUACGCAUUAAGCACUCCGCCUG